RNAcentral lists this ribosomal RNA (505 nucleotides) under uncultured bacterium. Its description in RNAcentral is "partial 16S ribosomal RNA". It matches the Rfam family "Bacterial small subunit ribosomal RNA", at positions 29 to 523 of the family's 1533-position model. The record is from RNAcentral.
AUUGAACGCUGGCGGCAGGCCUAACACAUGCAAGUCGGACGGUAGCACAGAGGAGCUUGCUCCUCGGGUGACGAGUGGCGGACGGGUGAGUAAUGUCUGGGGAUCUGCCCGAUAGAGGGGGAUAACCACUGGAAACGGUGGCUAAUACCGCAUAACGUCGCAAGACCAAAGAGGGGGACCUUCGGGCCUCUCACUAUCGGAUGAACCCAGAUGGGAUUAGCUAGUAGGCGGGGUAACGGCCCACCUAGGCGACGAUCCCUAGCUGGUCUGAGAGGAUGACCAGCCACACUGGAACUGAGACACGGUCCAGACUCCUACGGGAGGCAGCAGUGGGGAAUAUUGCACAAUGGGCGCAAGCCUGAUGCAGACAUGCCGCGUGUAUAAAGAAGGCCUUCGGGUUGUAAAGUACUUUCAGCGGGAGGAAGGCGAUGUGGUUAAUAACCGCAUUGAUUGACGUUACCCGCAGAAGAAGCACCGGCUAACUCCAUGCCAGCAGCCGCGGUAA